This 421-nucleotide unclassified non-coding RNA is filed under the name Prismatomeris albidiflora. RNAcentral describes it as "partial external transcribed spacer". The record is from RNAcentral. Lineage: Eukaryota; Viridiplantae; Streptophyta; Magnoliopsida; Gentianales; Rubiaceae.
UUGGAUCAUUGCUCGGGCAACGACGUCCUCCCGCUCGUUCCGCUUCAGUCGUUGGCACGGGAGCGACUUUCGCCUCGGCCGUGCUCGUCGGUUUCCUGUGUUGCAUACCAACGUCGAUGGAAUUCGCAAGCCAAUUCUUCCCUCGUUCGCCUAGCGCUGCCCGCUUGCGCGGUGCGGCUUUCGGGUGAACCUCGAAGCGAAACCCGUACUCCUCGUCGCUCACGCACGGCGUCGUCGUCGAGGCGCACGGGUUCUCGUUUGACCUCCGGGAUGCGGAAAACGUCGGGGCACGGGGUCUUGCACCUCUAUUCGCCCACAAAUUGGCCUCACACGCCACAUUCGAACGACAUUCGGCGUCGCACUGACGACCGGCGUCUUGCGGCCCGAUGUCAGCGAGGAAUGCUACCUGGUUGAUCCUGCC